GCCAAAUUAAGGUGAAACCGCGAAAGGCUCAUUAAAUCAGUUAUGGUUCCUUAGAUCGUACCCACAUUUACUUGGAUAACUGUGGUAAUUCUAGAGCUAAUACAUGCAAAUAGAGCUCCGACCGGAGACGGAAGGAGCGCUUUUAUUAGAUCAAAACCAAUCGGCGGCGGGUCAAACCGUCGUCGUACUCUUUGGUGACUCUGAAUAACUUAUUGCUGAUCGCACGGUCUAGCACCGGCGACGCAUCUUUCAAAUGUCUGCCUUAUCAACUGUCGAUGGUAGGUUCUGCGCCUACCAUGGUUGUAACGGGUAACGGGGAAUCAGGGUUCGAUUCCGGAGAGGGAGCCUGAGAAACGGCUACCACAUCCAAGGAAGGCAGCAGGCGCGCAAAUUACCCACUCCCGGCACGGGGAGGUAGUGACGAAAAAUAACGAUACGGAACUCAUCCGAGGCUCCGUAAUCGGAAUGAGUACACUCUAAACCCUUUAACGAGGAUCAAUUGGAGGGCAAGUCUGGUGCCAGCAGCUGCGGUAAUUCCAGCUCCAAUAGCGUAUAUUAAAGUUGUUGCGGUUAAAAAGCUCGUAGUCGAAUCUGUGUCCCGCGCCGCCGGUUCAUCGCUCGCGGUGUCUAACUGGCGUGUCCGCGGGACGUCCUGCCGGUGGGCUUAGCUUUUCGGAGCGGCCCAACUUGAAAUCCCACCGCGGUGCUCUUCAUUGAGUGUCGAGGUGGGCCGGCACGUUUACUUUGAACAAAUUAGAGUGCUUAAAGCAGGCUAAAAUUUCGCCUGAAUACUGUGUGCAUGGAAUAAUGGAAUAGGACCUCGGUUCUAUUUUGUUGGUUUUCGGAACCCCGAGGUAAUGAUUAAUAGGAACGGAUGGGGGCAUUCGUAUUGCGACGUUAGAGGUGAAAUUCUUGGAUCGUCGCAAGACGGACAGAAGCGAAAGCAUUUGCCAAAAACGCUUUCAUUGAUCAAGAACGAAAGUUAGAGGUUCGAAGGCGAUCAGAUACCGCCCUAGUUCUAACCAUAAACGAUGCCAGCUAGCGAUCCGCCGACGUUCCUCCGAUGACUCGGCGGGCAGCUUCCGGGAAACCAAAGCUUUUGGGUUCCGGGGGAAGUAUGGUUGCAAAGCUGAAACUUAAAGGAAUUGACGGAAGGGCACCACCAGGAGUGGAGCCUGCGGCUUAAUUUGACUCAACACGGGAAACCUCACCAGGCCCGGACACCGGAAGGAUUGACAGAUUGAGAGCUCUUUCUUGAUUCGGUGCGUGGUGGUGCAUGGCCGUUCUUAGUUGGUGGAUCGAUUUGUCUGGUUAAUUCCGAUAACGAACGAGACUCUAGCCUGCUAACUAUAUAUAUUU
This 1359-nucleotide ribosomal RNA is filed under the name Hydraena lapidicola. Its description in RNAcentral is "SSU rRNA". It matches the Rfam family "Eukaryotic small subunit ribosomal RNA", at positions 69 to 1366 of the family's 1831-position model. The record is from RNAcentral. Lineage: Eukaryota; Metazoa; Arthropoda; Insecta; Coleoptera; Hydraenidae.